ACAGAACAUCCUGAAACACAUACUGGUGAGCUUGCUCACAGAAGCGGAGGGGCCGAGAUAAUGGAACAUUCCUGCAAGAGGGAAGAGCUAGCAGAACACUCUUGAAAAGUUGCACAGUUCAAACAGUUACAAGACAUUUUGAUACAUUGGGUGGGAGUACUGCAGCACUAACUAUUACAUUUCUGGAACAAAACAUUUUGUGGGAAAAAAUGUGAACAUAAGGCAAGGGCAAGUACGGGCCGGUCUUACUGUGUAUUAUUGCUCUUUCAACAGCAUUUGCCACAUACAGCAUCAGGGGAUGAGACGGUGUCAGAGGCCUCCAUGGUCCAGAUGAGGGACUAUCAGUGCCAAACUGAUCGCAUCCCUCCGCCCUGUCCUCCACACAACUGGCAUGUGAGGGGAAUUCCCAGGCUCUGCGGGCUCAGUCCUUUUUUGGAAAAGAAAAAAGCCCUUUGUGACCCUUUUGUAGACAGCCCUCUCCUCCCCAGUCUUCCUCCGUCGCUCCGCUCCCUAGGGAAUGACCUGCAGAGAGGGAAACCAGCUGGCACGCGCUGGCUGGCAGACAGCAGAGACUGUCUCGAGUGGGAGGCGGAAGCCAGGGCUGGGACUGCUCUGCUGUCAAGGACGUGGUCUCUCUCGGAGAAAGCUGAAGAGGCAGCUGCAGGCACUGCAGCAUCUUACUUGCUCGGUGUCCUCCUGGUCUGGCCCACAGAAACUGACGGCCUGAACAGGUCAGAAAACUAA
This 744-nucleotide long non-coding RNA is filed under the name Fukomys damarensis (Damara mole-rat). Its description in RNAcentral is "lncRNA (ENSFDAG00000025571.1)". The record is from RNAcentral. Lineage: Eukaryota; Metazoa; Chordata; Mammalia; Rodentia; Bathyergidae.